AUGAACGCUGGCGGCGUGCCUCAUACAUGCAAGUCGAGCGAACGGACGAGAAGCUUGCUUCUCUGAUGUUAGCGGCGGACGGGUGAGUAACACGUGGAUAACCUACCUAUAAGACUGGGAUAACUUCGGGAAACCGGAGCUAAUACCGGAUGAUAUUUUGAACCGCAUGGUUCAAAAGUGAAAGACGGUCUUGCUGUCACUUAUAGAUGGACCCGCGCUGCAUUAGCUAGUUGGUAAGGUAACGGCUUACCAAGGCAACGAUGCAUAGCCGACCUGAGAGGGUGAUCGGCCACACUGGAACUGAGACACGGUCCAGACUCCUACGGGAGGCAGCAGUAGGGAAUCUUCCGCAAUGGGCGAAAGCCUGACGGAGCAACGCCGCGUGAGUGAUGAAGGUCUUCGGAUCGUAAAACUCUGUUAUUAGGGAAGAACAUAUGUGUAAGUAACUGUGCACAUCUUGACGGUACCUAAUCAGAAAGCCACGGCUAACUACGUG
This 496-nucleotide ribosomal RNA is filed under the name uncultured bacterium. RNAcentral describes it as "partial 16S ribosomal RNA". It matches the Rfam family "Bacterial small subunit ribosomal RNA", at positions 29 to 507 of the family's 1533-position model. The record is from RNAcentral.